Molecule: non-coding RNA, 48 nt
Filed under: Schistosoma mansoni
Lineage: Eukaryota; Metazoa; Platyhelminthes; Trematoda; Strigeidida; Schistosomatidae
Source: RNAcentral
AUCCAUCUGACGAGUCCUAAGUAGGACAAAACGCGCGUCAAACUGGAU